RNAcentral lists this ribosomal RNA (421 nucleotides) under uncultured eukaryote. RNAcentral's name for it is "SSU rRNA". It matches the Rfam family "Eukaryotic small subunit ribosomal RNA", at positions 592 to 1018 of the family's 1831-position model. The record is from RNAcentral.
CAAUAGCGUAUAUUAAAGUUGUUGCGGUUAAAAGCUCGUAGUUGGAUUUCUGCCGAGGACGACCGGUCCGCCCUGCGGGUGAGUAUCUGGGACGACCUGGGCAUCUUCUUGGAGAACGUGUCUGCACUUGACUGUGUGGUGCGGUAUCCAGGACUUUUACUUUGAGGAAAUUAGAGUGUUUCAAACAGGCCCACGCCUUGAAUACAUUAGCAUGGAAUAAUAAGAUAGGACCUCGGUUCUAUUUUGUUGGUUUCUAGAGCUGAGGUAAUGAUUAAUAGGGAUAGUUGGGGGCAUUCGUAUUAACACGUCAGAGGUGAAAUUCUUGGAUUGUGUUACGACGAACUACUGCGAAAGCAUUUGCCAAGGAUGUUUUCAUUGAUCAAGAACGAAAGUGCGGGGAUCGAAGACGAUUAGAUACCAU